GACGAACGCUGGCGGCGUGCUUAACACAUGCAAGUCGAACGGAAAGGCCCUGCUUUUGUGGGGUGCUCGAGUGGCGAACGGGUGAGUAACACGUGAGUAACCUGCCCUUGACUUUGGGAUAACUUCAGGAAACUGGGGCUAAUACCGGAUAGGAGCUCCUGCUGCAUGGUGGGGGUUGGAAAGUUUCGGCGGUUGGGGAUGGACUCGCGGCUUAUCAGCUUGUUGGUGGGGUAGUGGCUUACCAAGGCUUUGACAGGUAGCCGGCCUGAGAGGGUGACCGGCCACAUUGGGACUGAGAUACGGCCCAGACUCCUACGGGAGGCAGCAGUGGGGAAUAUUGCACGAUGGGCGGAAGCCUGAUGCAGCAACGCCGCGUGCGGGAUGACGGCCUUCGGGUUGUAAACCGCUUUCGCCUGUGACGAAGCGUGAGUGACGGUAAUGGGUAAAGAAGCACCGGCUAACUACGUG
Molecule: ribosomal RNA, 468 nt
Filed under: uncultured bacterium
Lineage: Bacteria
Description: partial 16S ribosomal RNA
Rfam family: Bacterial small subunit ribosomal RNA
Source: RNAcentral